CCUACGGGAGGCAGCAGUAGGGAAUCUUCCACAAUGGACGAAAGUCUGAUGGAGCAACGCCGCGUGAGUGAAGAAGUAUUUCGGUAUGUAAAGCUCUAUCAGCAGGGAAGAAAAUGACAGUACCUGACUAAGAAGCCCCGGCUAACUACGUGCCAGCAGCCGCGGUAAUACGUAGGGGGCAAGCGUUAUCCGGAUUUACUGGGUGGAAAGGGAGCGUAGACGGCUGCGCAAGUCAGACGUGAAAGCCCGGGGCUCAACCGCGGGACUGCUUUUGAAACUGUGUAGCUAGAGUGCAGGAGAGGUAAGUGGCAUUCCUAGUGUAGCGGUGAAAUGCGUAGAUAUUAGGAGGCACACCGGUGGCGAAGGCGGCUUACUGGACUGUAACUGACGUUGAGGCUCGAAAGCGUGGGGAGCAAACAGGAUUAGAUACCCCAGUAGUC
Molecule: ribosomal RNA, 440 nt
Filed under: uncultured bacterium
Lineage: Bacteria
Description: partial 16S ribosomal RNA
Rfam family: Bacterial small subunit ribosomal RNA
Source: RNAcentral